AGGAGUGCUUUUACAGAGGGGGAUCCACCCGUUCCCAUGCCGAAUACGGAAGUUAAGCCCCUCGUGGUCGAUGGUACUGCACUGGCAACGGUGUGGGAGAGUAGAACGGCGCUCCGC
This 117-nucleotide ribosomal RNA is filed under the name Candidatus Omnitrophota bacterium. Lineage: Bacteria; Pseudomonadati; Candidatus Omnitrophota. The record is from RNAcentral.